UCCUGCCUCACCCACCCUUCCUCCUCAUCUGUCCACUACCCCAAUUUUGGCUGUUUCUGUGUCCGCAUGUCCAUGCUGAUGGGACUUUUAGAAAAUCUGCUUUGGAAAGCAAUGUCCCAGGCCCUGAGGCCAUGGAGGAAGGUUUCUGCUAUGUGGGGGACUGCAGUUCCCAGGUAGAAUUCACCAGCAGGCAGCAGCAGGGGUGUCUCUGGCCUCUCCUCCCAAAGGCCAGGGACAGCCUCCCCUGUCACUGACCUCCACCCUGUGCUCUGGGGAUACUUGAGCCAAGUCAUUUACAUCUACUCUCACCAGCACCUGCAAGGUCCAUUCUAUGGGUGAGGCAACAUCAAAAUGAGUGAUCUUCCUCUCCAUUUUUCUUUUCUAAAGUAAUUUUGAGUCAGAAACAUUUCAAAUUCAUGACAUAGUUUUUAUAGAAGCAAUUGAAUGUCUGGGUCUUCUUCCCACUGACUUACUACUAGUCACACCAGAGAGCUGGGUUUCUACUGUGAAAUAAACUGAAAAUAACCCCCCUGUGCUGUACGCACACCGCCCAGCCCCAUGGCCAUGGUCCUGGCGUGGGAAGCCCACUCCUCAGUUUUGAGGAAUACCCUUUGCCAGUAGGGGGGGACACACCACUGUGGUCUCUGGAAACCUGGGUUUCCCACACGCCAGAUUGGAUUAGCCUUUCAAAGUGGUGUCUUUAGUUCAUAAUUCAUAGGGACCAAAGCUGUUUUUAAUAUGAUAAUUGAUUUUCUAACAAAGGUUUACUCUACAUUCUAACACCAGUUUUUUGUUUUUUUUUUUUACAUUCUAGAUAUUCCAAAUCAAUUGCUCGUGGCUCUAAGUUGUAAAAUGUUUUCACGUUAUGAAUGUAAUUAUUUCCUUAAUGUAUUUUUAAAAAAAAACUAAAAUCAUAUUUAAAAUAAUCUUGGAAAGACACAGGCAAAGAAAAGAGAAAGUUUGUUUUUUGGGGUUUUUUUGUUUGUUUGUUUGUUUUAGUUAACUAUGUUGGUAGCCCAUUUGAAAUGACUGUAAAUAUAUCUUGAUUGUGUAGCUCAAUGUAUUUAAUUCAGAAAGUAAAAUUUUUUUUUAUGUAAAGAGACUUGCAAUGAAAGAUCCUAGUUUUCAGUCCACGUCCCCCAUCUCAUAGUCCCUUCACCCGACCUUUCUGCUCUACAAACUGAUUUUUUUCUACUGUUGUUUAACUGUGUACCCAUUGACUGGCGCCCAUUGGCGGAACUUGUUUGUGUAUUAAUAAAACUGUGCUGUGUGGCCCAGCCUCAUGUCCUCCUGACAGUGGCUCAUGGCACAGGAGAUGUC
RNAcentral lists this long non-coding RNA (1320 nucleotides) under Mus musculus (house mouse). Its description in RNAcentral is "long non-coding RNA chr5:36002599-36003919". Lineage: Eukaryota; Metazoa; Chordata; Mammalia; Rodentia; Muridae. The record is from RNAcentral.